UACAGAGGUCUCAAGCGUUGUUCGGAUUCAUUGGGCGUAAAGGGUGCGUAGGCGGCGCGGUAAGUCGGGUGUGAAAUCUCAGGGCUCAACCCUGAAACUGCAUUCGAUACUGCGCGGCUAGAGUGCUGGAGGGGAGACUGGAAUUUACGGUGUAGUGGUGAAAUGCGUAGAUAUCGUAAGGAAGACCAGUGGCGAAGGCGGGUCUCUGGACAGUUCCUGACGCUGAGGCACGAAGGCCAGGGGAGCAAACGGG
This 253-nucleotide ribosomal RNA is filed under the name uncultured bacterium. RNAcentral describes it as "partial 16S ribosomal RNA". It matches the Rfam family "Bacterial small subunit ribosomal RNA", at positions 524 to 776 of the family's 1533-position model. The record is from RNAcentral.